Long non-coding RNA from Haliotis rubra (blacklip abalone), 446 nucleotides. RefSeq lists it as uncharacterized. The transcript has 4 exons. Lineage: Eukaryota; Metazoa; Mollusca; Gastropoda; Lepetellida; Haliotidae. The record is from RefSeq and is a predicted model, not a curated record.
AGACGUAAAACUUCAUCUUAUACGUAUUGUGGAUCCACUGACUUGUUGGAGAUUGACAAGAGGCUUGGCUUGUUCCAAGAAAAAGACCCAUUUUCUGUCCGCACUGCCAGUCGUUUGUUUCAAGGAAACAAGGAAUCCGUCUCGAAUGGACGGCAGUUUUUCAUCAGGAUGAUGCACAGUCUGUGUGGGACGAUGAGGAUGGCAACGAUGUUGUCCCAGACAUCAACCAGGACUCCUCACAUUCACCAACAGAUAUCUUAAGUAGAGCAUACACCAUCUGUUUGCUGUUGUGGACUGGUUCAAGCCUUGUUGUCAUCAACUUGGUUAUAUUUCCCCUUUCUCUGUGUGGCAAAACAAAUGUCUCAACUCAGGUUCUGCUUCAUGUGUACCAGAUCAGUGGACUGCUGCCUACUCAGUAUGAGUGCAACAGAAGCUUCAUGAUUGUC